This 3160-nucleotide long non-coding RNA is filed under the name Zea mays. Its description in RNAcentral is "long non-coding RNA (ZMAY_LNC003081)". Lineage: Eukaryota; Viridiplantae; Streptophyta; Magnoliopsida; Poales; Poaceae. The record is from RNAcentral.
CAUGACAAAAACAUACUAAAUAUUAUUAAUCGGCUAGCAAAGAGAAGUUAAACAUACGACAUGAACUGAAUUAACUAGUGCGCACGACUAGUUAAAAGAAACAAACUUCCUUUGACAAUAAAUUUUUAAUUAAAUCAUGGCUGCGCCUGGGCUGUGUUAUUGUGAGAGUGAAAGUGGACAUGCUGCUACUCCCCUCAUUCCCAACAUGUAUCAAGUACCUGCAUUGAGUAAUGCAAGAGUGAGAUGACACAUCUCAGCAAGUAAAAUAAUAUCAAACUGUUUAACCACAUAAGAACAUUGUUUUACCACCACUUGAUUCCACAACUUUCUUAUUACGACGGUGCAACACGUAUACAACGUACAACGUACAACACACCUAGUCACCACACCUCGCAGGUAGAAACCACAAUAGGAAUAUAGUAAUGUCACACUUCAUAUAUACCUCAUGAGUGCAAAUGUCUGCAAAUGCAAGGAUGACUUCUGCCUUCAUACCUCUAAGGAUAUGAAGCCGCAUCGUACCCCUCCUCGGGCAACGUACGAUGCUAAAAAUGUACCGGUACGGUCGGACCAUGUUGGGGGCCUUCGGCUUACGAAGGUCCUCAAAAACAGGAUUUAACAGUAUUUCUGGAGUAUAAUGUGUGAACAGGUAUCUUCGGACUCAAGUCGGAAUCGCAGCGGAUCAGAAUAAUACGAAGGUUGAUACAGCGCCGAAGGUGUAAGCAGGAAAGCUUCGGCAUGGUGGCAAAGAAAAAAUGAAACCGACUUAAAGAUGAAAAGGCUAUUCAGACCUCGAUAGAUUACUAUAGAAUUAUUAUCAAAUGUAAAGGGCAUAAAUGUAAUUUUGUAUAGGCUGUGUGCUAUGCCUAUAAAUAGGUGAACAAUACCCUUGUACUGUUCACGCUGAUUAGGCAUUCGCUUUUGCGUCACGCUUGUACUUUCAUCUCCUUCAAGUUGAAGGUACAUUUGUAAUCCAACGUUAUUUCUGUUUAUACAUAAUAAUAAUAUAUAAUUGUCUAUGUUGUCCUUUAUAUUCCUUACGAUUCAACCUUCGUUAUUGUAUGAUGUAUUUAUGAAGGUACGCCCUUCAUAACCUUCAUCCGAAAACCAUUAUAUCCUGAGGGAAAUAAUGCUUCGAAGGACGAAGGAUUAACAUUUUCUAUGUUGCCUUGUUCUUAACUCAUAGCAUUUGAGAGCAAGUCACCAACAUUGGCGCCCACCUCCGGUGAACUCACUUCCACUCUUUGAGUUUUUUGAACACCUUCGGCGAUCAUAAACCUUCGCUAUGGCGCCGAAGAAAGCUUCAGCGACUGGGACUGCAGCUCUGCAACCGCUGGACCACAAUCAGGAGACAGUCUCCCUUCGGGAAGCACGAAGCCAGAAAAGGAAGGCUGUCAGCCCGACACCACCCGAGGACGAGAUAGAUCAAGAAAUCAGAGACAUGGAGAUGCUUCAUCAACAGGUGCAGAGGAAGAAAGAAAAGAUGGCCAGGCUAGCUGAACUGCAAAGGCAGAUAGACGAAGCCUCUGAAGAAGUUCGUCAUCUUGCUCAGAAUGAGCAGCACCGAAGGCCUCAGCACCAAGACCUUCAUCAGGAGGGUUUCCUCAACGAAGAUGACUGGUAUGAUAAUUUCCAUCAUGGGAAUUUUGUUUUCGAUGAUGCUUCUCCUCUGUCCGCUGAGUUGCAGGCUACACCUUGGCCUCCAUCCUACAAGCCGCCUCAGCUUCCCGUAUUCGAUGGCCACUCAGACCCGAAGCAGUUUUUGAUGAGCUACGAAGCAACAGUAUCUUCGUAUGGUGGCAAUGCUGCAGUCAUGGCCAAAAUGCAAGAUGUGAGAUGGAUGAUGCGAUGUGCAUGUCAUGCCUACAACACUUCAUAUAACGUGAUUCAAAAAAGAUACUUCAACUUCAUCCAAGAUGGGAAUCAACCACAUAUAUCAUAAUCAAAUUAUGAUCAUCCACAAUAUUAGACAAUUGAGAAUUAAUACUUCCAAACAAAUAAACUUCAUCAUAGAAUUCAAUGAUUAACAUAAUUAAAACUUAUGCAUACUCAAUGACAGGGAAUAGGAUGCAAACCAAACGGUAGCAACCACCACUAUAUUUACUUGCCUUUACCGGAAGUUCGGACAAAUCCCUAAGUACGAUCCGGAAGUCCACCACCUGUUUUUUGACACACAACUUAGUGCACCAAUUUCACAUAAUCAGGCUCAUAAACGACGCCGCACCUACGCACAAACUCAAACCCCGCCGCGGGUUACAUCUCUCCCCACACCCACCAAACUGCAGCGGCGCUGCUUAAUAAUUUCAUAACAUUAAAAUUAUGACAUCAGUGGUAACAAACAAAAACUCCAGAGUCGUCUACCUAAAAUUCCCCACAAGUUUUGUAUACCAUUUAUAAUUAAAUUCCAACAUCUAAUUAGCCCAAAACAGUCCACAAGAUGAACCCUGUAAUCUGUUUUUUUUUUGUCUUUUGGACAGCGACAUACCCGGAUUCAAACAGCGAUAUCUUUUAAAAUAUAAUUCCAAAUCAAGCGCAUAAGUACUCAUUGGAAAGAUAAGACAAAUCCCUACAUGAUUAUAAUACUGGUUAACACUAAUUACCCGCGAAAAAUUCCCAGAAACUGCUAAUACUACUGCUGUUCACCCACCUGAAAAAUCUGUUUUUUUGGACAGCAACAUAACCGGAUUCAAACAACGAUAUCUCCUAAAUUAUAACUCCGAAUCGAGCGCAUAAGUACUCGUUGGAAAGGUAUGACAAAGCUCUACAUGAUUCUCCCACUGAUCCCCACUAAUUUCCCACGAAAAAUUCCCAGAAAUCCCUAGAACUACUGCUGUUCGCCCUCGCACAAAAAUUCUGGACAACACCUCUACCGAUUCGCAUAGAUAAACAUAUAAUCAAUUGAAUUUUAGCGCAAAAACAUAGAUAACUUCAAGAUCACCUUGAGUUCCACCUUUUUCCUCCUUCCUUCCUCCCACCAAUUCUCCAAUUGAAACUUGCACCCACACGAAGAAGAUCCGACGAGGAAGAACGACACUUGGAGAAGAGGAGAUGGGGGGUGGCGGCUAGGGUUGAGGAGAUGGCUGCUGCAAAAAAACUUGAGAAUGGAGAGGGGGCGGCUGCAGCACUUGGGGAAGAGAGAAGAGGGAAGAGGGGGGAGGGUGAC